AGCGAACGCUGGCGGCGUGCCUAACACAUGCAAGUCGAACGUGAAAAGGGAAACCUGAGUAAAGUGGCGUACGGGUGAGUAACGCGUAGGUAAUCUACCCCAGAAUCUGGAAUAACCUGCCGAAAGGCGGGCUAAUACUGGAUAGAGCGAGGGAACUCGUAAGAGAGUUUUUCGGGAAAGGGAGCCCGCAAGGGCCUUCGUUCUGGGAUGAGCCUGCGUCUCAUUAGCUAGUUGGUAAGGUAACGGCUUACCAAGGCGAUGAUGAGUAGCUGGUCUGAGAGGAUGGUCAGCCACCCUGGGACUGACACCCGGUCCAGACUCCUACGGGAGGCAGCAGUGGGGAAUCUUGCGCAAUGGGCGGAAGUCUGACGCAGCCACGCCGCGUGAGUGAAGAAGGCCUUCGGGUUGUAAAGCUCUGUCGGAUGGGACGAACAUCUUCAUAGUGAAUAGCUAUGAGGACUGACGGUACCAUCAAAGGAAGCACCGGCUAACUCCGUG
RNAcentral lists this ribosomal RNA (498 nucleotides) under uncultured bacterium. RNAcentral describes it as "partial 16S ribosomal RNA". It matches the Rfam family "Bacterial small subunit ribosomal RNA", at positions 29 to 507 of the family's 1533-position model. The record is from RNAcentral.